ACUUUUCAUAUACAUUUUUUAUACUUUUCAUAUAUCAUUCAUAAUCAUUUAUAAUCUACAUUUUUAUGAAUCAAACUUUUCUGAAUUCUGUAUGUGGAAGACUUUUAGAGUUUGGGGGACUUGGGGGGAAGUUGAGUGUAUUAUGUUUCUUUCCGUGGAGCAGAAUAUACAUUUCAAGAUUGAUUAAGAGCAGAUGUUCUGGAACAGCUAUAUGUACUGUGUAAGUUCUUUGUUUGAGACAGAGAGAGGAAAAAUACAGAGAAGCAGAAGGACGAUCUUUGCUGGUCCACUCUCUCUCCCUUAUGUCUUAUAUAAAUUGGUAAAAUAAAUAACAUAUAUUGGCAGAAUGACUGGUGUCUUUUCAUUAAAUUAAAUAACAAGGGGAAACGAAGAUUUUAAAUCUACAAAAUGGAUGGAUGGAUGGAUGGAUGGAUGGAUGGAUG
Non-coding RNA from Pimephales promelas (fathead minnow), 443 nucleotides. Lineage: Eukaryota; Metazoa; Chordata; Actinopteri; Cypriniformes; Leuciscidae. The record is from RefSeq and is a predicted model, not a curated record.